GAUGAACGCUGGCGGCGUGCCUAACACAUGCAAGUCGAGCGAACCCUUCGGGGUGAGCGGCGGACGGGUGAGUAACGCGUGGGUAACCUGCCCUAUACACACGGAUAACGUACCGAAAGGUACGCUAAUACGGGAUAAAGUUGUUGGAUGGCAUCUUCUAACAAUCAAAGCUCCGGCGGUAUAGGAUGGACCCGCGUCUGAUUAGCUAGUUGGGGAGGUAAUGGCUCACCAAGGCGACGAUCAGUAGCCGACCUGAGAGGGUGAUCGGCCACACUGGAACUGAGACACGGUCCAGACUCCUACGGGAGGCAGCAGUGGGGAAUAUUGCACAAUGGGCGAAAGCCUGAUGCAGCAACGCCGCGUGAGCGAUGAAGGUCUUCGGAUCGUAAAGCUCUGUCCUCAAGGAAGAUAAUGACGGUACUUGAGGAGGAAGCCCCGGCUAACUACGUGCCAGCCGCCGCAGUAA
RNAcentral lists this ribosomal RNA (466 nucleotides) under uncultured bacterium. Its description in RNAcentral is "partial 16S ribosomal RNA". It matches the Rfam family "Bacterial small subunit ribosomal RNA", at positions 28 to 523 of the family's 1533-position model. The record is from RNAcentral.